GAUGAAGAACGUAGCGAAAUGCGAAAAGUAAUGUGAAUUGCAGAAUUCAGUGAAUCAUCGAAUCUUUGAACGCACAUUGCGCCCGCCAGUAUUCUGGCGGGCAUGCCUGUCUGAGCGUCAUUUCAACCCUCAUGCCCCUAGGGCGUGGUGUUGGGGAUCGGCCAGCGCCCGCGAGGGACGGCCGGCCCCUAAAUCUAGUGGCGGACCCGUCGUGGCCUCCCCUGCGAAGUAGUGAUAUUCCGCAUAGGAGAGCGACGAGCCCCUGCCGUUAAACCCUCAACUUUCUAAGGUUGACCUCAGAUCAGGUAGGAAUACCCGCUGAACUUAAGCAUAUCAAUAAGCGGAGGA
Molecule: unclassified non-coding RNA, 348 nt
Filed under: soil metagenome
Description: partial contains 5.8S ribosomal RNA, internal transcribed spacer 2, and large subunit ribosomal RNA
Rfam family: 5.8S ribosomal RNA (bases 1-120)
Source: RNAcentral